GAAGCUCGCGGGCUGGAGCCUCAGGAUGUGGAUUGGAAAGAGGACUGGGUGGUGAUAAGUGCUGUCUGCUAAAGUUAAAAAAAGAAAAAAAAAAAUCAGUGAAUAAACGUUCUCCACCGACUCUGCCCGCUCGCCCUUUUUCUGCGUGUUCGAUGAAGCUCCUUUACGUGCCUACCAAAAUCGCUAGAAGGUAGAAAGCGAGGAAAAAUACAUUGGGGAUUGAUAAUAAGAAUAUGAGAAUGUCAUCCCCUCUCCCCGGAUCACCACCAGCAAAGAUUCACAACACAACACGCGAGAUUUUUCUUACAAUUCUGAUCAGGUUCUUUCCAUGCUGCUGCCACUGUCUUGGUCAAAACCCACAUUUUCCCUCCACUGGACUUCUGCAGUGGCCUUCCAGAUGGUCUCCCUGCAUGGAUUCAGCAGGCAGGAUUUGAAGCCAAUAUUGAAAAGAUGAAGUUUGGAUGAAGAGCAACACGAGAGGGUAUAAAGCACUGUCACAUUUUUUCAUGGUAGAAAAUAUUUCUUCCUUAUGUUAUUUCUUUAAACAGCUCCUAACAAUAAGUAA
Molecule: long non-coding RNA, 565 nt
Organism: Camelus dromedarius (Arabian camel)
Lineage: Eukaryota; Metazoa; Chordata; Mammalia; Artiodactyla; Camelidae
Exons: 4
Source: RefSeq, a predicted model, not a curated record